Molecule: non-coding RNA, 45 nt
Filed under: Schistosoma margrebowiei
Lineage: Eukaryota; Metazoa; Platyhelminthes; Trematoda; Strigeidida; Schistosomatidae
Source: RNAcentral
AUCUAGCUGACGAGUCUCAAAUAGGACGAAACGCAUGUCUCGGAU